UGCAGCUAGCAAAUCUCAACAUACGCGUACGGUACCCAAAUGUCUUUUCCGCAGGCUCAUCUCCACACAGACGAAUGUAAUGAAUUUGCAAAUGCAUAUUUCACUUGUAUCAACGAACAUGGCUAUAUCAAGUGGCUUGGACAUUGUGAAGACUACUACCUUAAGAUGAAGAAGUGUUUCAAAAAAGAGCUUAUGUAGUCAGAAUUGCCCGAUAAUUAUUCACAACAAU
Molecule: long non-coding RNA, 229 nt
Filed under: Bemisia tabaci
Lineage: Eukaryota; Metazoa; Arthropoda; Insecta; Hemiptera; Aleyrodidae
Description: lncRNA ENSSSA2NGG012193
Source: RNAcentral